Helianthus annuus (common sunflower) is the source of this 4414-nucleotide long non-coding RNA. RefSeq lists it as uncharacterized. NCBI's taxonomy places the organism in Eukaryota, Viridiplantae, Streptophyta, Magnoliopsida, Asterales, Asteraceae. The record is from RefSeq and is a predicted model, not a curated record. The transcript has 14 exons.
AUAUGGAUCCUAUAAAUCCUAUAAUCAAACUUUUUUGACAAACCCUAGAUUGGUAUGUUCUCUCUUCUUCAAUACGCUGGUUCUUCUCAUUCUUCGCCGCCGAUCCAUCAUCCAAACCCGAUUGGGAAUCAAGACUAGAAGAUGGAGUUUCGGGAUCCAUAAGAUUAAUCGCCACUACCAUUCACUUGAAACACUAAUUAAGUUCUUAGGGUGUAGGGAGUGGGCGGCAAAGGGGUUCGGCAAAGUGACUUUGCCGCUCGGGCACACUGCCGCCAACCUCCUUUGCCGCCCGGUGAGGGUUGGUAAUCGGUGUUUGGUUACCGAUCGGUGAAGAUGAUGAGUAAUGUAUUGGGGAGCGAUGAUUGGAUGGUAUAUUGUGUUUUAUGUUUUUUUUUAAAACGAGUUUCUUGAUCCUCUUGCAUACACUCACUUCACCACUGAGGGUGGGGUGGAAUUUCGAAGUGUAGUCUACAUUCCCGGAAUGGCACCAAUAAACAAUGAUUAAUUUCCGAUGAUUGGAUGGUAUAUACGUCUGUACGUGAAACGUGUAUUCAUUUCCGAUGAUUUCGAUGGCGAACUGUUUCCUAGAUACUUGAGCUUUGUAAAGGGUGUGGUAGAUUCAAAUGAUCUUCCCCUCAAUGUUUCACGAGAAAUUCUUCAAGAAAGUCGAAUUACAAGCUCAGAUGGCAUUCAAAAGGAAGUUGACUGCGGUCAAAGACGAGAUUCAUAGGUUAAGUCAGAUCAUUCCGAAACUGCACACUGAAAGAGAUGCACGCCCGCGUGAUUUGAUUGAUAGAGGAAGGAAGCUCGAGGCGGAGCUUCAUGAUGCCGAGCCUUUGAGGGCGGAUGUUAGUCAUUUGAGAAAUGAGGCGCAAAAGUUGAAUUCGUUAAGGCAAGAGUUGUCGAAUCAGGUUCAGACUCUAGACUCUUACUGAGGAUUUUAGCAGAUUGAGAGCGGAGAAUGAACGGGUGCGGCUAUUAAGACGGAUAUUGAUGGGAUGCAUAAAGAUGUUGUGGAAAUGAGCAGAGAUUAUGAAAUGUUGAAGAAAACGAACGAGGAGCAUUUGAUUCAAAAGGAAGCAAUGGAUACGCUUGAUACAUUUGAUAACAAUCCAGAUUAACGCUUUCUUUUAUUCCUAAUAGGACACGCUGCUCGCCAUUUUCAUUGCUGAAUUAUCAAUCAAAGACGAUGAGGAUGAUAUUGCUGUGGUUCAAGUUGGGGUUUGCUUCCACUGCUGCUGUCACGGCUCAAUUCAGCUAUAAAGAUCUUUUGCUCGAUCGUUACUCUUUUUCUUCACAGGACUAGGUGGGUUUUGAUUUAUAUAUGAUCUAAGAAUAAAUGUGGUUGCCGAGAUUAGGUUAUUUCUGAUUUAUUCAUGAUUCGAAAAUUAAUGGGGCUGUCGAGAUUUGAACAAUACGAUGUCAUCGAUGAUGGUUGAAUGGUUUUUGAAGAUCUUUUAGGAAAUCCGACAAGGGUUUCCAUUUCACUCCAACUGAUGGAGUGAUGAUCGGAAAAGGGUAUGGCUUGCGGCUGAGAUAAUACGAUCAUGAUUAGUUGAUUGCUGUGGUCAGUUUGUUAAUAGGACCAAACGUGAUGCCAUAUAUUUGAUUUCAGCCAUACCCUUUAACAGGUAUUACACGUAUCGUAGUCUGCCUCACAUUAAGUAAUAUUGUAUAUUUAUUUCAGCCCUACCCGAGUGAUUUUUGUUAAUGAUAUCUAAGUGGUUAUUUGGAUUUUGUUUGAUUAAAUGUUGACCCACAAACUUCUUGAUUUUUUGGUUUUGAUGGCUUCCAUUUUCACUUAUAAACUGCUAUAUUUUUGUGUUGUUAGUGCUUUGUUUUUUAGAAAGAAAGAAGACUAAUUUUUUCGUAUUCAAAAGUGUGUUUGAAUAAAUGUGGUGUUACAUAUCUGCCAGAGGUACAUAUCUGCCAGAGGUGUUACAUAUCAAAUGUGGUGUUACAUAUCUGCCAGAGGUACUUUCGAUUAGUUCUUUGAAAUUGUCUAAAUGCCUUUCUCAGCCGGUGAUUUCAAUUCGGUUAUAUAAGAGGUACUUUUGUUGGGUUUAUUAACGUUUUUGUUCAGAAUUGGACAUUGGUAGUUUUCUAUUUAUUAUGUAUGUGUAGUGGCCAUUUUGUGUUAAAUGACUUAGUUGAAACCACCAUAUGGCUUGAAGAAGCUCCAGUUAUAACAAUUUUCAAUAUUUAUUUUUGUUUCUAAGGUUGCACUUGACUCGAGCAAGCCUAGCCCGUCGGCAUCUGAUUAUGAUAGCGGAAGUCAAAUAACAAAUGCCAGCCCUUCUAAUAUGACUAUUAUGGAUCAGUUUCCUGCUAUGAAAAUUCAAUCCAGAGAUGUAGCAAAACCACCAAGAGCUGGUGGUAGGAGGUGUGGCGGUGGUGUCAGCGAAAGGGUGGUGUGAGUUUCCAGCGUUGCAAGGUGGUGUCAAAGGGGAAGGUAGAAGUUGUAUUGCAGAGUUGUGGCGGAGGUGCUCCUUUGGCAACCGGAGUUGCAGGUGGCAGAGGUGCUCCUUUGGCAGCGGGAGUUGCAGUUGGCAGCGGGAGUUGGAGUUGGCAACGAGAGUUGCAGAUAGUGGAAUCGGAAGGUGUUGCCCUAAUGCAAUUGUCAACUUGAUUAGCAAUCCUGUGAAUUCUACGGUUCCAAUCGCUGCAGAAGUUUUCAAGAAAGUUGGUACUUAUGAACUGUUGCUUGAUUUCUACAGAGUUUUUCAUGAUGUUCAUGUUUGGAUGUGACGAAAUACUUAUAUGGAAGAAAGAAAGGUUACAAAUGGAGCUGCAAAGGUAAAUUAUAUAAGAACUAGGUUUUUAAGCGGUUAUUAUAAUGUAUUUAUCUUAUUUCGACUUACUACGGUUUUUAAAGGAGAACAGGUCAAUAAAUAGGUUUUAACUAUAAAAGGAACCGGUUGAGUCAGUUUUAAAUCAUGACAACCAUUUUUGUUGUGUAAACAUGUGGUCUAAGCAUUAUAAACCUCAUUCUUUUUAGUAGUUCUAUGGGGGUAUGCAAGACUUUGUUGGUGUAGUUGUAUUAUGGACAAAACCUAUUCUUACCUGAACCAAAUUGACCAUUAAAAAAAAAUAAGUCGUUUUGACCUAUACUAAUUUUGUCAAAAACCAUCCAUGCCCAUUAUGUUGCCUGACCUCCCCACCCGUCUUGCCAGGUAUAGUUUUAACGCGUUUGUGACAUGGUUUCAUAUAUAAUUUCAUCAUUUUAGCCGUUUAGGCAUGGUUUCAUAUAUGAUUUCAUCACUUGAGAUAUGUAAAGAGUGACUCUGUAAUUAGAAAUAACAUGAUGACUACUCCUCGCACAAUUUGAAGACUACAAUCGUUUGCGCAAUUUUUUAGUCUCAAUCACAGUGUAAAGAGCAGAGUGUAAAGAAAGAACAUACAGAAGUGGAAUGAGCAAGUCAUUAUGUCUCUCUAAAUUACUUGCUCUUUACGUCCGCAUGUAGCGCCCGGUAUGUAGUUUUCGUAUAGAAUUUUUUAGGUAUAUACGUUUUCGACCCCCCCCCCCCCCCCCCCCGGUUUUAUAUUUUUUAGGUAUAUACGUUUUUGACCCUUCGGUCGGAAAUCUCAAGCUUCGCCACUGCUGCAGGUAAUGUUCUUACAAUGGCAGUCCUGGUGUUAGUUUUACCUGCAUUAGGCUACAAUCUCGGAAGUGCUAUCAAGAAAAUAUAGUUUUGUUUUAGUCAUAUCUUUUAGGAUGUUAUGGCAGAGGGGGGGAUCUUAAAGAGGUCAUUGUUGUAAACAAGAUAAUUCGUAAUCUAUUUGUUGUUCAUAGAUAAAUAGUAGGCUUGGCAAAACCGGUUUAUUGGGUUUGGUAACAGGUCAGAACUGGCCAGAUUAAAAGUGGGUUCAACAGUUUCGAGACGUAGCACAUGCAACAGCGUUAGCAUAAUUUUCUCAUGAGUAGAUGGACACGGCUUCUGUGCUUCAAGAAGCUCAUAUCUCUAUCAAUCUCCUUCAUGAACAGAUUAAGCCAAGGUCGAAGCGCAACAAAUUAUGGUUGCCUAUUCAUGGAUUCAAACCUUCAAUUGCAACCAUCAAUUCUAACAAUGAUUCUAACAUUCAAAUGCAACAAAUUAUGCUUGCCUAUUCAUGGAUUCAAAUCUUCAAUUGCAAUCAUCAAAGUUUAAUGAAGAAGAUGACAAAGUAUGCAAAGGAAGGCAUGAGGGUGGAAGCAAGCAAAUCAGAAAUUUAUGGAACAAAGCAUGAUGCUUUUGUUGACAUGAUUGCAAGUGUAUUUAUUUAAAUAUCUUAUAUGACUUCUUAUAAUGAUUGGCAUUGUGAUUGGCUUCUAACUUUUGAUGUCAAAUCUUAACACUUUGUUUAUGUAACAUGACACUUUGUUUGUGUUUUAUUUUGUUUCGGUUAUACACUUAAUAUAUGAUCCUUAAUAGUU